GCGUAUGUGUUGGUCUCAUAGAGCGAAACCCGUAUCGAUGUGUGUAUCGCUACGGAAAAGUCACGUGACCAAUACAGGACCUGUUUCGAACUGAUUGACGGGCCAAACUGUUUAUAAGGAAGCGCAUCUGUCAACGGGAUGCAUCUGCCAAAACAAUCUUGCGUGUUUUGCGAAUACACAACUCAUCAAAAAUGAUGGAGCUUCCUAAACCAAAAAGAAAGGUUUCUGCUGUGUGGGACCACUUUGAUGUCAUUUCGGAAAAUAAGGUAUUUGUUUUGAUUUCCUUGUUUCAUCCUGUUCCUCUCAGAGUUUCCACUUGAUUUUCUGAAUAGAAAUUCAUUUCAAAGUGACCUUUAGUUUACUGUUCGUGUUAUUUUCUGCAGGUUAAAUGUCGCAAUUGCUCAACAGAGCUUGCAUAUUUGAAUAACACCUCCUCAAUGCUGAGGCAUUAUAGGGCCAAGCAUGAGAAUGAAAUCCAUGAUACACCCAUGAUAAACUCAGGUAUACAGGUAUUUUACAACUUACUGACUUUGUUUUAUUGAUAAUUUCGAUUAAUUUAUACUUUCUCAUUUUUAACCAUCAAGCUUCCAGGAAGCAGAUGCUCGAUGAGGCUGUGCUUAAUUUCAUUGUAAAGGACUGCCAGCCCCUCGCCGUUGUGGAUAAUGAAGGGUUCAGGGAGCUGGUUCAGCUCCUUGAGCCCUCAUAUGUUUUGCCAACCAGAAAGACCAUCAAACAAAUGUUGGCCAAAAAGUACGAGGAGGAACGGGAAUGAGUGAAAAUGGAAGUACAGCAAGCUGUGGCAGUGAGUAUAACCGCUGACAUGUGGACAUUUGUGAACAUGGAGGCUUACUUGGCUCUAACCUGUCACUACUUUAAUGAAAAUGUGCAGCUGUGUACAUCUGUGUUAGGUGUGCAAUACUUUCCACAAAUUCACACUACUGACAAUUUGGCCCAAGUAAAAAGGGCCAUGAUGGAGGACUGGGCCUUAACAAAUAAAGUAAAGUGUCUUGUGACCGACGCAGCACCAAACAUGAUUGCAUGCGCUAGACAGCUCCAAAUUCGGCACUCAAUUUGCAUUGCACAUAGUCUCAAUUUAUUAGUUAGAAAAUCAUGUGAUCAGAUCCCCACUCUUACAUCCAUCAGUUGGAUCCAUACGUGCUGUUCCAGGUGCCAAGACGCUGGAACAGCACGUAUGAAAUGCUGUCAAGGCUGCAUGAUGAGAAGUAGCAGUGUGGGUAUCUCUGGCCUCUCUAAAAACAGAUUUGACUCCACUUACAGCUGAUGAGUUUACCAUCAUAGGAGAAACACUACUUGUGCUUGCUCCUUUCCAUCAAGCUACAGUGGAGUUGUCUGCAGAGAGGCGAGUGUCAGGAUCAAAGGUCAUCCCAAUGAUGGAAAUGCUCUAUAAAAGGCACUUGAGUGUAAUGCUUCAACCUUGCACACUGACACAGCACGACACCUACAUGAACACCUGAAGCGUCGAGUUACAGACACUGCUUCCAACCUGGAGUCAUUAAGUGUGUUGACCCUGGCGACACUUCUAGACCCCAGAUUUAAAUCACUUGGGUUCCACAGUUCCUCCAAGUGCAACGAGGCCCUCAGCAGACUGCGGACAGAAUGUGCCUCAAUAGUUGGAGGCUCAAAUGAGCCCCAGCCGGGAACAUCUUCACAACAGCUGUCUGCCCCCACUUCAGGCAUGGUAUUGAGCAUUAUUUCUUUGUUGUUUGUAAAUCAUGUACUAAAAUGCCAAUUUGUUUUUGUUUUUUAGAUAACCUUUGGGAACAUUUUGAUCUCGAAGUGGGGAGGCAGACCAAAAGUGCCACAGCUGAUGACAUCCAUGAGGUGCAUAGAUACAUGGCAGAGGGCAAUAUUGCGAGGUCCCAGGAUCCUCUUAUAUAUUGGAAAAACCAAAAGAGGGUUUAUCCAAACCUCCUCCGCCUGUCCUUAAAAUUUUUGUGCACUCCAGCUUCAUCUGUGCCGUGUGAGCGGGUGUUUUCCACAGCUGGAGAACUAAUAUCAAAAAAGCGUAACAGACUGAUUUUCAUAACGUUGCAACAAUUUAUUUAUUUUUUAAUAAAAAUUUGUAAAAAAAAAAAAA
This is a long non-coding RNA of Fundulus heteroclitus (mummichog), 2098 nucleotides long. RefSeq lists it as uncharacterized. The transcript has 2 exons. Lineage: Eukaryota; Metazoa; Chordata; Actinopteri; Cyprinodontiformes; Fundulidae. The record is from RefSeq and is a predicted model, not a curated record.